This 253-nucleotide ribosomal RNA is filed under the name uncultured bacterium. Its description in RNAcentral is "partial 16S ribosomal RNA". It matches the Rfam family "Bacterial small subunit ribosomal RNA", at positions 524 to 776 of the family's 1533-position model. The record is from RNAcentral.
UACAGAGGUCCCGAGCGUUGUUCGGAUUCACUGGGCGUAAAGGGCGCGUAGGCGGUGGGGUAAGUCUGGUGUGAAAUCUCGGAGCUCAACUUCGAAAUUGCACUGGAUACUGCUCUGCUAGAGGGCUGGAGAGGAGAUCGGAAUUCACGGUGUAGCAGUGAAAUGCGCAGAUAUCGGGAGGAACACCGGUGGCGAAGGCGGUUCUCUGGGCCUGACCUGACGCUGAGGAGCGAAAGCCAGGGGAGCAAACGGG